RNAcentral lists this ribosomal RNA (469 nucleotides) under uncultured bacterium. Its description in RNAcentral is "partial 16S ribosomal RNA". It matches the Rfam family "Bacterial small subunit ribosomal RNA", at positions 28 to 507 of the family's 1533-position model. The record is from RNAcentral.
GACGAACGCUGGCGGCGUGCUUAACACAUGCAAGUCGAACGGAAAGGCCCUGCUUGCCGGGUGCUCGAGUGGCGAACGGGUGAGUAACACGUGGGUGAUCUGCCCCUUACUUUGGGAUAAGCCUGGGAAACUGGGUCUAAUACUGGAUAGGACCAUGCUGUAGGUGGUGUGGUGGAAAGAUUAGUUUCGGUAAGGGAUGAGCUCGCGGCCUAUCAGCUUGUUGGUGGGGUAAUGGCCUACCAAGGCGUCGACGGGUAGCCGGCCUGAGGGGGUGGACGGCCACAUUGGGACUGGGAUACGGCCCAGACUCCUACGGGAGGCAGCAGUGGGGAAUAUUGCACAAUGGGCGCAAGCCUGAUGCAGCGACGCCGCGUGGGGGAUGACGGCCUUCGGGUUGUAAACUCCUUUCAGCCAUGACGAAGCCCUUGUGGUGACGGUAGUGGUAGAAGAAGCACCGGCUAACUACGUG